GAAUCUUAUUUCCUGUGCUUCUGAAAUUAUGAUUUGCAUACAUUUGUAAUCAGAAAGAGCGCACACAACAACAUGAUUCCGAGUUUCAUAAAAAAUAAAAAAAUACCAAGAUCAGUCGCACAUUCACACUUUCAGAUUGCUAAAACACGUGAAUCAACUAGGUUGACAUGAAUUUGUACUAAGGGUAGGCCGUGGCCCCCUCUCGAAAGAGCUCCCACUUCGAGAUAGGCGUGAUCAAAGCUGGCAUGGGACAUUACGCAGCACUGAAGCACUGACCCACCGAAAUAGCAAGGUCCAGCGAGACAUUGCCAAAACAUUAAAUACAUUUCAUAGGAUAACGACUAGGAACUUAUCUCUCUUUCAAAACAAGCAAUAUUGUAUACGUAAAUAUUUAGGCUCUAAUGUUUAAGAUAUCGGGACUUUCAUAGCACAAGUACAUCGUUAUCAUCAUGUCUAAUAUCAAUGAUACAAAAAUAUACGUAACUUAUUGUUUAGCCACAAUGCAUUCAAUAACAAUAUACUCGUAUCAAAUAAAUAUUGUUAAUAUUCAAUAACAUAUUAUUAUUAUUAUUAUUAUUGAUUAUUUGGUGAGGGUGAGAUUUGGCGUAAUAGAAACGUUACUUCUUUGUGAUUGAAAGGUUAUGAGUUCAAAUCGUGGAAGUAACUUCUUUGUAAAACAAAAUUAAAGUUACGUACAAUAAAUGUUCCUCUUCCCGAUCUUAACAAAGCGGGAAGUAUUGUAAUCUUGAUGUCGCCCUUUAUUGACUCUAAGUAACAGUUGCACAUUUGGACCCAAAAAAUAAGAUGAGAGGAAAUAAAUGGUCCUGGGUUGGCGGGUGGGGAGAGAUUCUUGGUAGUGGAAUCUGGCAUAUGGCCAACUAGUCCAAUAAUGGUAUGACUAGAAAUAAAUAAUCGAAGAUAAUGAAAACCCUUAAGUUGUACGGCCCGUCCAACAAUGUAAGUGCAGCCAACAGGUUCCUCUUUGGAUUCUUUUGUUGAGUAUUUUGGGAAUUUAUAAAUUGUGUUUAUUCAUCGUAUAUUGUAAGAUCAGUUUUUAUCAGUUAUUGUUUGUAAUUAAUUUUAAAUAAAAUAUUAAAAUGAUUUCUAACUAUACGAUAUACGAUGAACAUAUAUAAUUCACGGAUUCCCGAAAUUUUCAUAAAGAAGAUCCAAUGAGGAUCCAGAUUCUAAGUAUACUAUUCAAAUUCAUAUUCAUAAAAUAGAACAUUCACCUCAGACAUCCUCUAUCACUAAAAAUAUAAAAUUCAUGAAUAAAGCAUUUGAUUAUUACAACUUUACAAGUGGGGUCCGAAAGUUGUAGAUGAGAUUAAAAGGGACAAUUUUAAUUUAAUUUAUAAUACAUGGUAACUUUGGUAAUGUAUUUUGAUGUCGAGUGCAAGAAGAUGAACAUGCUAUCUUGAUCAAUCGAUUCAAUUCACGCGUAUUAUGUUUUAUGAAUGUUUAAAAAUUGUUGUCAGGGAUGGCUCUUAGUCUAAGAAGCAUGCAUCAAGUGGGAAAAAAUGAAUUGCAUCGAGAACAUGGUGGAGUUUUAUCACUUUUCCUUUAUGCAUUAAUUUUUCAGAUUAGAGUUGAUGAACAAGCUAAUACAAUUUAAUUAUUGUUUAAUGUCUCGAUAUGGUCCCUAGGUAUAGUUAUAUAAUUUUCAACUUGCUAGUAAGUGUAUGAGGUCUUAAGCUUAAUUCUCAUAAAUGUCGGAUAUUAAAUUGUGCAGAGUUAGUCCAACACCACUCUUAUAUUAUAUGAAAAUGAGACGUUUUAAAGUGACACGGCUAGGGCUCAUGGUCAUGGGCCCUUGUUCUAAAGGUCUGAAAUCAAUUGUUGUCCUAGAUGAAUAAUGCCAAGAAAGGGUGAACACUCCAAGGGUUGACUAUACUAUCUACAUUUCGAUCUCAAUUUAACUUGUACUUGAUUUAGGCCUUUUGCAAAGUCAUGUAUAUGUGACUAUCUAGUGUGAACAAGUGUGAAUUUAUUUCUUUUUACAAUACGACAUUUUAUUUAGAGAAUGCUAUAGAGAUUAAAUUUGUAAAUAAAUUUUGAAAACUAAAUGACAUAGAAGUUGAUGAUUGAAUUAUUAUUUAAGUUUUGAUAAACAUGCUCAUUUCUAUUAGUAACGCAUUAUUUAGUUUACAAAUUAGUCUACUUUAAUUUGUAGAGAAAAGAUUCAAAUUCGUGUACAAAGCGAUUAUCACAAUGUUCUGAUCAAAUGCUCUGACAAACAUUUUGCACUUGCAAACUAUUUAUUUCAAUGGGAACAAAUUCUUAACUUUUUUUUCUAUGAACUAUAUUGAAAAACACAAAAAUUUGAAGUUUGUCAUAACCACAUAAUUUUAGACGUAAAUACCUGGUCAGCAUGAAUUUAUAACUCAUCAACUCUCUUACAUACGAAUCUGUAAAAUCAUCAUAGAGACAGGUCGAAGGCUUACUUUCAAUAAUACCGAUAUUGUUCUCAACUUGAUAAUUACCACUUGUACAUCCAUCAGUUAUAAGGUUUUAUCACAAAAGGUUUGGUAUUAGUUGGAGUGAGGUUAGGAUAUUUAAACUUCUUUUCUCAAAGAUACGGUCAACGUGUAAUAUUUCAACACAUCCACUUACGUGGGACCCAGUUAGUGAGUCACACGUGAGAGAUCCACAUAUCAACUACCAUAUGGAGCCAACGGGACUCACCCUACAUGCAGGACCACAAGACCCACCA
RNAcentral lists this long non-coding RNA (2713 nucleotides) under Malus domestica (apple). Its description in RNAcentral is "long non-coding RNA (MDOM_LNC002333)". Lineage: Eukaryota; Viridiplantae; Streptophyta; Magnoliopsida; Rosales; Rosaceae. The record is from RNAcentral.